RNAcentral lists this ribosomal RNA (164 nucleotides) under uncultured bacterium. RNAcentral describes it as "partial 16S ribosomal RNA". It matches the Rfam family "Bacterial small subunit ribosomal RNA", at positions 355 to 511 of the family's 1533-position model. The record is from RNAcentral.
UAGGGAAUCUUCCACAAUGGGCGCAAGCCUGAUGGAGCAACACCGCGUGAGUGAAGAAGGGUUCCGGCUCGUAAAACACUGUUGUAAGAGAAGAAUGACAUUGAGAGUAACUGUUCAAUGUGUGACGGUAUCUUACCAGAAAGGAACGGCUAAAUACGUGCCAG